GACGAACGCUGGCGGCGUGCUUAACACAUGCAAGUCGAACGAAGUGGCGAACGGGUGAGUAACGCGUAAUCAACCUGCCCUUCAGCGGGGGAUAACAGUUGGAAACGACUGCUAAUACCGCAUACUGAAGGAGGGGAUUGCGUGGGAUUAGCUAGUUGGAGGGGUAACGGCCCACCAAGGCGAUGAACAGUAGCGGGUCGGAGAGGGUGAACGGCAACAUUGGAACGGGGAAACGGCCCAGACUCCUACGGAAGGAAGCAGUGGGGAAUCUUCCGCAAUGGACGAAAGUCGGACGGGGAAAGGCCGCGUGAGGGAGGACGGCCUUCGGGUUGUAAGACUCGGUAAAUCGGGAAGCGGUACCGGAAUAGAAAGCCACGGCUAACUACGUGCCAGCAGCCGCGGUAAUAC
RNAcentral lists this ribosomal RNA (408 nucleotides) under uncultured bacterium. RNAcentral describes it as "partial 16S ribosomal RNA". It matches the Rfam family "Bacterial small subunit ribosomal RNA", at positions 28 to 526 of the family's 1533-position model. The record is from RNAcentral.